ACGGAAGGCAGCAGUGGGGAAUAUUGCACAAUGGGCGAAAGCCUGAUGCAGCGACGCCGCGUGAGCGAUGAAGUAUUUCGGUAUGUAAAGCUCUAUCAGCAGGGAAGAUAAUGACGGUACCUGACUAAGAAGCACCGGCUAAAUACGUGCCAGCAGCCGCGGUAAUACGUAUGGUGCAAGCGUUAUCCGGAUUUACUGGGUGUAAAGGGUGCGUAGGUGGUAUGGCAAGUCAGAAGUGAAAACUAUGGGCUCAACCCAUAGACUGCUUUUGAAACUGUCAAACUAGAGUGCAGGAGAGGAAAGAAGAAUUCCUAGUGUAGCGGUGAAAUGCGUAGAUAUUAGGAGGAACACCAGUGGCGAAGGCGGCUUACUGGACUGUAACUGACGUUGAGGCUCGAAAGCGUGGGGAGCAAACAGGAUUAGAUACCCUGGUA
Molecule: ribosomal RNA, 434 nt
Filed under: uncultured Lachnospiraceae bacterium
Lineage: Bacteria; Bacillati; Bacillota; Clostridia; Lachnospirales; Lachnospiraceae
Description: bacterial SSU rRNA
Rfam family: Bacterial small subunit ribosomal RNA
Source: RNAcentral